Molecule: ribosomal RNA, 427 nt
Filed under: uncultured bacterium
Lineage: Bacteria
Description: bacterial SSU rRNA
Rfam family: Bacterial small subunit ribosomal RNA
Source: RNAcentral
UGGGGAAUUUUGGACAAUGGGCGAAAGCCUGAUCCAGCCAUGCCGCGUGAGUGAAGAAGGCCUUCGGGUUGUAAAGCUCUUUUAGUCGGAAAGAAAGAGUUGCAAUGAAUAAUUGUGAUUUAUGACGGUACCGACAGAAAAAGCACCGGCUAACUACGUGCCAGCAGCCGCGGUAAUACGUAGGGUGCGAGCGUUAAUCGGAAUUACUGGGCGUAAAGGGUGCGCAGGCGGUCUUGCAAGUCAGAUGUGAAAGCCCCGGGCUUAACCUGGGAAUUGCGUUUGAAACUACAAGACUAGAGUGCAGCAGAGGGGAGUGGAAUUCCAUGUGUAGCAGUGAAAUGCGUUGAGAUGUGGAAGAACACCGAUGGCGAAGGCAGCUCCCUGGGUUGACACUGACGCUCAUGCACGAAAGCGUGGGGAGCAAACA